This 345-nucleotide unclassified non-coding RNA is filed under the name soil metagenome. RNAcentral's name for it is "partial contains 5.8S ribosomal RNA, internal transcribed spacer 2, and large subunit ribosomal RNA". The stretch from base 1 to 120 matches the Rfam family "5.8S ribosomal RNA", at positions 35 to 154 of the family's 154-position model. The record is from RNAcentral.
GAUGAAGAACGUAGCGAAAUGCGAUAAGUAAUGUGAAUUGCAGAAUUCAGUGAAUCAUCGAGUCUUUGAACGCACAUUGCGCCCCCUGGUAUUCCGGGGGGCAUGCCUGUCCGAGCGUCAUUGCUGCCCUCAAGCACGGCUUGUGUGUUGGGCCUCCGUCCUCCUCCCGGGGGACGGGCCCGAAAGGCAGCGGCGGCACCGCGUCCGGUCCUCGAGCGUAUGGGGAUUCGUCACCCGCUCUUGUAGGCCCGGCCGGCGCUUGCCGACACAUCAAUCUUUUUUCCAGGUUGACCUCGGAUCAGGUAGGGAUACCCGCUGAACUUAAGCAUAUCAAUAAGCGGAGGA